GACGAACGCUGGCGGCGUGCUUAACACAUGCAAGUCGAACGGAAAGGCCUUUUCGGAGGUACUCGAGUGGCGAACGGGUGAGUAACACGUGGGUGAUCUGCCCUGCACUCUGGGAUAAGCCUGGGAAACUGGGUCUAAUACCGGAUAGGGCCGCACUUUAGUGUGUGUGGUGGAAAGUUUUUUCGGUGUAGGAUGAGCCCGCGGCCUAUCAGCUUGUUGGUGGGGUAAUGGCCUACCAAGGCGGCGACGGGUAGCCGGACUGAGAGGUUGGUCGGCCACAUUGGGACUGAGGUGAGGCCCAGGCGCCUACGGGAGGCAGAAGGGGGGAAUAUUGCACAAUGGGCGCAAGCCUGAUGCAGAGACGCCGCGUGGGGGAUGACGGCCUUCGGGUUGUAAACUCCUUUCGCCAGGGACGAAGCGUUUUGUGACGGUACCUGGAGAAGAAGCACCGGCUAACUACGUG
RNAcentral lists this ribosomal RNA (463 nucleotides) under uncultured bacterium. RNAcentral's name for it is "partial 16S ribosomal RNA". It matches the Rfam family "Bacterial small subunit ribosomal RNA", at positions 28 to 507 of the family's 1533-position model. The record is from RNAcentral.